CUCUAGAAAUUGUAGUCCAUGAACACGAUUGCCUAAACACUGUCCCAAUCAUUACCGGAUGACAAAAAGUUUGUGUUAGAAUACUUCCCCAAUCAUCCUCCCCACUUUAUGGCAGUUGUUUGGUACCUGCGAAGGAGAAUGAGCAAGUUAUGGACAACUAUUCUUAUAUGAUCCAAAGAAAGCGUUGGAUAUUCACAACUAUUAAUUUCUUUAGGGAGCAAUUUUUUUUUAAAUAACUUUAAGAGACAAUUUUUUACUAUUUCAAGUUCUUAGUAUAUUCAGUUAAUGCUCAAUUCUAUUAUUUUUUAGGUAUUAAAUCUUUAAUUAGUAUAAACAUUAGAUAUUGAUUCUGUAAGUAAAUCUCCAUAUUCACUUUUUUCAAAAAUCGACAAAAGGUUGAAAAUGUUUUGUAAGCCAAUAACAGAUCUUAUUAUUUUUAAGUGAACGAUUUCCUGAAAGAUGAAAGGGUAACAAACUAACACAUUGUUGGCCUAAUUUCAGUCUAUAUUCAUCACAUAGUAUUGGUCUUAGUGAUUUUAUCCAUUAAUAUUUUUUUAUUCAAUAUACAGGUUGAUGGAGAUGAAAGAAAAUAUUCUCAACAGCCGUUCAUCUGAUAUCAAGUUGAGCGUAUUUUCUAGGACAAUUUGUAGAGAAAGGAAUGACGGUUAACCGAAUUGUGGUAAAUUUUAAUUUUCUGUCUCCUAAUUAUACAUUUUAUUGCUAUUUUAUUUCAGGGUUAUCCUUAAUCAUGGUUUUAAAGACUUCUAUGACCUAGAAAAAGUUCAUGGAGAUGAACUGCCUUUUUACUUAUUUAGAUAUGAAGGUGCACCGCUUAACAUUCAACGCCAAAAGAAUACGGAAGAGAUUCAUCUAGCAUACACACACCCCCUUUAUCUUCGAUAAAAUAAUUAAGGUGCAAAUUCUUUCAAGUUAGCAUUCCAGUUAUUUAGAGUUUCUACAGACUUUCUUAUGCUAUUUAAGGUUGUUAUCAACGAAGGAAGGGGGCUUAGCUGAAUAGUUUGCAACUCUUUGAGUAUGAUCCUAAGUAGAAGGAAGUUAUCCUCAAAUCCAACCGUGGAACUAAUAAAUUAUGGGUGCAGUGGUUCAAAAAACCAGUGGACUUGGAGUUUUAUUUGAUGGCAGUGGGAUUCUUUCGUUGGUUUUUCUAUAGCCCUUGCUUAUCAAUCUGCUGGUGAUGCAUAUCCAGGUUGACGGGUGUGUUAAUCCUUCUCUGUGUGUGUUUGAGAUGCAAAAUGCUGGUGACUUGGAUUUGCAUUAUUGUUGAUGUGGUAAUGGUAAUGGUAUUCCUAUUCGACUGCAUCAGUUGAGAUGCUCAGAAACUUAUUUUCGAAAACAUUUGGAAGAUCUCACGAAAUGUGGUGAUCGCAGUACCAUUCAACUUGGCAAUGGGGGUUCAGAUGAGUUCUGGAUACUUUAACACUACCACUUUGACUAUUUUAGAAAGUGGACUAAUUCUCCAUCGAUGAAAACACCGCCAUUACACAUUGCAAGACACUCCACGAACGUUGUUCCUGUUUUGGGGAUACUUUACAGGUUAAUUUCUCUUACUCUCUCCCGCUGUGUUUGCGUAGUAUCCUUUAUGGACAGGCUAUCAAUAUUAGCUGCAUAAAGGUACCGAGUUUGAUAAGAUGACUCUACUAUUUAAAUUUUUAUUAGAAGAUCAAUUAAAACGAAUACUAUAUUUUUGAAUAUAAUGCUUUCCUUAAUUGGAUGUAUUAAUCAGGGGGAAGUGACGACAUCCUUAGCUUAGCUCUACUUUUUAGAUGCAAGGUUGUUGAAGUUUUUUUUUUUAUCAAUUCUGGGCAUGUAUCAUCAAUGUUAUAUAUUGAUGCUCCAAGUAUCCAUAUAGCAUGUAGAAGUGGCCAGUGUCAUCAAUUACCUACCACUUGAGAGUAACUCACUGUGGCAUUGCUUAUGUUUCCAAUGUCUAAGUAUGUUUCUAUGAAAGACUCUUCUUUGGUAUUUUGUUAAUUUAAUUUGUAUAAAUAUCCGAGUAUUUAUCUUGCGGACAAGUUAAAGUUCACAGUAGGAGUAUCGCUUGGCGAGUUUCAAAGUACCGUGACUUCGUUUGCAACACUGAAUCUUUAAUUGCAAAUUUUGGUGAAACUGCAAUAGGAUGACUUGCUCCUGUUGAUUCUGACAACCCUAAUCCAAAGGUAUGAGCUUAAUCUUUCAUAUUUUACCGUCGAUGUUGAGAAGUCAUGCAUAAUGGUUAGAUAUGUUGACUUUAGACUAUUAGGAUGUAACAAAUAUUGGUAUCAACGCAAAGUUCUCCCCUAAGUGAUAUUCUUUAAGCUCACAAUAAAACUCAGAUAGGAAAUUAGGCUGUAGUUUCUUUAAAUGUUCAUACUAUAUUUUUUGUAGUUUAAUUGUGGAUGUGUUUGGUGGUUGUUUCUUCACUGGAUCAGAAGAAGGGUAAAGUAAUAGUAUUGGCAAGAAAAAAUAUCCUAAUCUUAAACGACAAAUCAUUACGUGUAUAUAUUUUUUUCGUGUUCAGAAUAAAUGGGUUCCGUAUGACAAGCUUCGAUUUUGGAGUGAAGGAGAAGCAGCCAAAGAACAUGGUUGAAUAAUGUCAUCACGACAUGUUCCCUGUUAAAAAGCUUGAGGUUACUUUCCUUGAUGUUAAUCUCAAUGUCCAUACUAUGUUUGACAAAAGGUUCGAUGUUAACAUUGGAGAUGGAUUUUGGAAAGGUUUGAUGUAUAGAGUCAUGUAGUAUAUGGAAGUCUUGAUGUUGUGCAUGAGACAGUUCACCUGGAUUUAUGAGGUAAGGUUUCAAGUCAAAAUGAUCAAUAUAUGAAGACAAUUAGAGUAAGCAUCUCUGUACAUAGUUGCCUACUUCUGUUAAUUUCUACGUGCGGUCAUUGCUUUCUCGAAAUUUUUGGGGAAUAAUUAACAUAUUUGUGGAUAUGAAAUGCAUGGUGAGGCAUGUUCUACAUAACUUGCAUUGUUAGCAGGUAUACAACAUUCAAUCCUUUUUUUUAAUCCUAUUAUUGACAAUAUAAAGAUUUCAUGUGCAUUUAUAAUCUCCUGGAAUGAGGAUUUUAUCAUGGUUUCUUAAUCAGGGAUGUUGCUUCCAUCUUGGUCAAAUGCUUUUGUCUGGAUAUCUCUUUGAAAAAACUAUUAAGUAUUAGGAAUUCAUGAUGCAAAGGAAGCGUCAAACGUGGGUGUCCAAUGAUAUAUUUUCUUGCCUUUGGAGCAUCGUACAUUUAUGUUAGAGUGCGUUUAGAGUAGAAUGUCCAUGAACAAUGGGAUCAAAAUAUGUUGGCCCCAACUAUUUAGUGUUUUAGAUCAAUAAAUGACUUGGUUAGCUAUUUUAAACUACCAGCUCAGAAUAGUAGGCAUUAGUUCUAAAUUAUGACCAGCGAGCAAUUUAUUUUUCAUAUGUUGAUACAGUUUUCUAGGGCACUAGGGUUUCAUUUUUCUGUAUUUCUUAAGGAUGUCUUUUUCCUAUCUAAAAAUCUCCUUAUUGUAUAAUGCAUGCUUCUGUUAAGGCACUCAAUGGUGACAUCAGAUGUUUUGAUUCUUCAGGCCAAGUCUGAAAAGCUGGCAAGAUAAGGGUUUUUUAAUAAAUAUUUGGUGAAGUGGACUGAUGACUUUAACUCUACAGUAUAGAACUCAGAUCUUCUAUUAGCGUACAUGAAGCAUGGUGUGAGGUAUAAUCUCUUCUUUAUAUUACCUCAUACUAUUAAAUCUUUUACACAAACAGAUACGUGGUUGCUACCUUAGCUCAAAUGGUAGAGCACAUGGUUUUUAUCAUGAAGUUGCGGGUUCGACUCCCACAGAUGGCAUAGUUAUUUGAAUAAGACAAAAUAAAAAACUUUAUAUGCUUCCGGUACCAGUGUGUAGGAGAUAUUAGAGACAGAAAAUGUAUCAGAUUAUAAGGCUCUUUGGAGGCUUCUUUUUGUCAAAUUCCAUGACCUAAUAUUAGUGUUCACAUUUAGGAUCUUUUGCGAUCUCUGCGCAAGGAAAAGGGUAAAAUUUUGCUAUGUA
Papaver somniferum (opium poppy) is the source of this 4012-nucleotide long non-coding RNA. RefSeq lists it as uncharacterized. The transcript is spliced from 5 exons. NCBI's taxonomy places the organism in Eukaryota, Viridiplantae, Streptophyta, Magnoliopsida, Ranunculales, Papaveraceae. The record is from RefSeq and is a predicted model, not a curated record.